Bufo gargarizans (Asiatic toad) is the source of this 180-nucleotide long non-coding RNA. RefSeq lists it as uncharacterized. NCBI's taxonomy places the organism in Eukaryota, Metazoa, Chordata, Amphibia, Anura, Bufonidae. The transcript is spliced from 2 exons. The record is from RefSeq and is a predicted model, not a curated record.
CCAGCUCUGGCUACUAUAGUGACCAGAUCCACAGGACAUCUUAAAGCUAUUACAGAUUGCAAACCUGACGAACACCAAAGCCUUUUUACCUCACAUAUCAUCCCAUAUCAUAUCAUAUGAACAUUAUUGUACACAUUCCUGUUCAUUAUAUCUCAGUAAAGAUUGCAUCAGUUCAGCAAA